ACCGCGGGGCGGCUCGGUGCCGCAGCCCUGGCCCGCUCCUGGGCCCGUCCGAGUUUACUGCGGGAGCGGCUGGCGCCAGCAGCGCAGCGGUUGCGGCGCGAAUGGCGGGCUGGUCGUCGCAUGCAGCCGAGGUGGGGGAUGCCGCAUUGUGGGAGGAAAGGGGUCCUUGGCCCGAGGAAGGGCAGGGAGCCGAACCUCCCUCCAGUAUCCUCGGUGUGACUACGGGGUUGGGAGCGGGGCGGGCUCCCGUCCCGCGGCGGGUUGGGUGAAGAGAGGCCGCGGGGCGGGAGCGGGCAGCUGUGGCGGCAGCCAGGCGCGGCGGAGUACCGCCGCCCUUAGGGGCCCGGGCCGACCGGGUCCCGCCGGCUCCCUCACCCCCUUUGCCGCCUCCGAAGCCUGGGAGGCGCGGUCACCCCGCGGCCCUUUUCUGUCGGGAAACUCCUUAUUUUCUCAAAUACCUGAAAUCAAAGCAUUUUGCGAGGUGUGCGGCGGCGUGGCGUAGCGCGGGCGCCGCGUUCGCAGGGGUGUUCCGCGGUUUCUGUCGGCGGCACAGCCCCAGCGCAUGAACUUAAAAAGAGAUGGGAUGGAAAAAGCCCGCGGGCUUUUCAGGAUGGAUUCGGAAAGGAUGCAGAAGACAUUUGCUGAGCAGCCACGGAGACCUGGGGAAGGUGAAGUCUCAGGGUAGCAGCUUUAGAGGCAUUUUUCUACGGGACCCUCUCCACACUUGUAAGAUCCUCCUGCUGGAGGUCGUAAUCCCCUUUGGGCAGCUGUUGCUUCCAAGUGGCUGUUGACAGAUGCAGCUCUUUCUGCAGUAGCAUAGAUGUACUAGUAAAAGAGGUUGUAAGCAUUAAAUCACAGUUUGUACCAAUAUCCCAGACAGUUGAUUUUUCCCAGGAAAGCUUACUUUACGUACUGCAGACUUCUGGCAGCUGAGGAGGUUUGGGGAAACAGAGCAUUUGCUGAUAAAACUCACAGUGGUGGCAAACUGCUAGUUGUGAAGGACAAAGGUUUGAGAUCUCGUUCUCAUUUCCUGCUGAGCUGGGAGCUAUUAAAGUAAGCUACUGUAUUUAUAUUACAUGACUGGUAUGAUUGCACACACAUGAAAGAAAUGACUUUAGAAAACCAUUCAUCAUGAUUGAUGUCCGGGGUUUAUGUUUUUUAAAGAAAAGUGCCUGAAUCGCUUCUCACUUAUUUCACUGAAAAUCAGAGCUAAGCUUAGGUUAGUGUGAGGGAGUGUGAGGAGUUAAAGUACUGUUUGGAGAGGAGAAUCAGACCUGACCUGUGGAGUGUCCAGUUUUGUUGGUGUUCUGAAAUGGCAAAAUAAAGAGUUGUCUUCAUAUUAAGUAUAUGGUAAUAUGUGUGAAUUCAGCUAUCCUGAGAGAUGCUAGUUGCCUGGAUACGUUGAAUCCUACUGAAAAGCGUGGUUUUGGAAUCAAGGAUGGCUGCAAAAUGGCCAGCGUAAACAGCCAUGAAGAGUGCAUACCAGCCCGGUCCAUGUGAACCACGGCACGGGAGACAAAGCCAAACCUGAAAAUCUAUUUCACUGAGUUAUCUAAUUGCCAUCACUAUAAUGUGCUGUGACAGCCCUCCUACAAUCUGAAGAAACAAUUUAGACCUUCUGGAGAAUUAUUGUGACAUGUAACAAUAAUCUGAGAGAUUACCUGUGAUUGCACUGGAUUCCUCAGGACAGAGACAGGAUUUUCAAGUGGCUUGUUUCUCCCUAGUAUCUGUGAAUCUUCCUGGUUUUCUGUAGCACAGGGUCUGCUGGGGUUUUUUUUGAGUGUGUGUCUGGGGGCAGACUGUGCUUAGUGUUACUUACUCUUUUUAACAAGUUGUACAUAAGGUUAUUUUAACUUCAAAGAAUGUUGAAAAAGUCUUUCAUUUUGCUGCUUUUGUUCACUGAAUAAAGUACUAAGCAUAGUUUGAACUUUUUCUUGUUUAGGAUCUAAUUAAAGAGGUAGACCUGAUUUUAUGCAUUCAAUUUAUGUUUAAAAACAUUCCUUGAAAAAUUCACCAUUGCUACAAUUUUUAGUUCAAUCUAUUAUUUUUGUCACCUGCCUGGGUUACUAAUUAGUAGUAUUUAAAUUAGGUGCAGGUCUGGUGGAAGUUAUUCUCAAUACUUUAAUAGUCAGAAAUUGUUCCUGCUGUACCAUCUUUUUUUUCUGGGAGUCAGGAUAUUUGAACUCUGCUUCCAACUUUGACUGACUUGUGAUUUGAUCUCUCUAACUUACUAAAUUACUCCACAUUAUGAAUUCCCAUUGUAUAAAGUCCAGAAAAUCAUAUUUAACUGCUUUGCAGGAGCUUCUUAGCAGGGCAGAUAAAAGUAGAUGAUUCAGUGAAAUGCAAAUGAAAUAAAACAUGUGAAAUGCACAUUAAUGC
Molecule: long non-coding RNA, 2379 nt
Organism: Strigops habroptila (Kakapo)
Lineage: Eukaryota; Metazoa; Chordata; Aves; Psittaciformes; Psittacidae
Source: Ensembl